GGCCGUGUGGCCUAAUGGUUAAGGCGUUGGUUUUCGGUUCUUGUGUUUCGUCCACCAUUCCCACCAAAGAUCGAGGGUUCGAAUCCUUCCACGGUCG
Molecule: transfer RNA, 97 nt
Filed under: Fonsecaea erecta
Lineage: Eukaryota; Fungi; Ascomycota; Eurotiomycetes; Chaetothyriales; Herpotrichiellaceae
Rfam family: tRNA
About the family: Transfer RNA (tRNA) molecules are approximately 80 nucleotides in length. Their secondary structure includes four short double-helical elements and three loops (D, anti-codon, and T loops). Further hydrogen bonds mediate the characteristic L-shaped molecular structure. tRNAs have two regions of fundamental functional importance: the anti-codon, which is responsible for specific mRNA codon recognition, and the 3' end, to which the tRNAs corresponding amino acid is attached (by aminoacyl-tRNA synthetases). tRNAs cope with the degeneracy of the genetic code in two manners: having more than one tRNA (with a specific anti-codon) for a particular amino acid; and 'wobble' base-pairing, i.e. permitting non-standard base-pairing at the 3rd anti-codon position.
Source: Rfam by way of RNAcentral